GUCACAGUUACAGGCCAAACCACUAGCCUCACAAGAGAUGGGGUUCCUCAAUUACGGAAAGGGAAACAAAAUAUUAUGCUGUUUGUCUGUUGCCCUUUCCGCAGCUGACCCGCUGUUGAUUUUGCUGUGUUCAGAUUGCAGCUCCAUGCUUUUCUUGCAUUCACACACAUUAAGUGACGCAAAGGAGUCAGAGAGCAAGUGAUUGCAGCCCUGAAGCCCUGCCCUCAUCCACUGCCAGCGCCACCGUCGUCCCUCACCAACCCUACGGCGAGCCCUUUCCACUGCGCUCCAACCUCUGCUCCAAUGCUCACCAAGUAAAAGCAACAGGGCAAGGUGGCGCAGUGCAGUGACUGCGUAGGGAACUAUGCAUAAACGACAGAGGGGACUUGCUUUCUGAGGGUCAAUGAUCGAAGAUUUCAAGCUGGCUGACCCACUCAAGUGCCAGGGCGACUAUAUAAGCAUAGUGGCACUGAUUACUGUUGUCUAGGAAUAUUCUCCUCUUUAACGGUUCAAUCUGAGUUAUGAUGUCUGCGGCUUCAUUUGGCAAUGAUAAAUCACCUGACUUGGUCACAGUGAAAGCCGAGGAGAAAGUCAGCUGGGAUUGGGGUACCGCGCCGAAUUCUAGAAGUGACGUGAUCUGACGUCUCAAGGGAAUCAUUUGGUGCGGGCAAUGCAACAUGUUCGGAGAAGGUAUGGUUGGCAUGAGGAUUGGAACUGGAUGCUUUGCGUUAGAGAACAAAGCUCAUGCAUCUAUAGUGAUGGAACUUGACUCGGAUUAGCUCCUAAUAAUGGUGCAUCAAAGGAGAACUCCAAUGACUACUUCCUUUAUUCUUGAGAUCAUCAAGUGGUAAAAAAUUAAACCAGUUUUCUUUGCAACUUGAGAAGGUCGAGAUGGGUUGGUAGUGAUGGUCGUGUUACAGAGCUCUUUUAGAAGCUACUGGACAUGCAAGUUUGGUGUUUUGCUUGAAAGUUGAAACCCACUGAAUGUAUGCACGAGGGAACCCCUCGCUUUGUCCAUAGUGUGAGCUAUGAGAACUGAAGUAUCUUUCGUAGACCGUCGGCCUCAGUUGUCCAUCAUCUAAUAUGCUAAGGCUGCCAGGUUAUGUC
Molecule: long non-coding RNA, 1107 nt
Organism: Panicum virgatum (switchgrass)
Lineage: Eukaryota; Viridiplantae; Streptophyta; Magnoliopsida; Poales; Poaceae
Exons: 2
Source: RefSeq, a predicted model, not a curated record